RNAcentral lists this ribosomal RNA (590 nucleotides) under uncultured bacterium. RNAcentral describes it as "bacterial SSU rRNA". It matches the Rfam family "Bacterial small subunit ribosomal RNA", at positions 66 to 645 of the family's 1533-position model. The record is from RNAcentral.
ACGGCAGCAUGAUCUAGCUUGCUAGAUUGAUGGCGAGUGGCGAACGGGUGAGUAAUACAUCGGAACGUGCCCUGUAGUGGGGGAUAACUAGUCGAAAGAUUAGCUAAUACCGCAUACGACCUGAGGGUGAAAGUGGGGGACCGCAAGGCCUCAUGCUAUAGGAGCGGCCGAUGUCUGAUUAGCUAGUUGGUGGGGUAAAGGCCCACCAAGGCGACGAUCAGUAGCUGGUCUGAGAGGACGAUCAGCCACACUGGGACUGAGACACGGCCCAGACUCCUACGGGAGGCAGCAGUGGGGAAUUUUGGACAAUGGGCGAAAGCCUGAUCCAGCAAUGCCGCGUGUGUGAAGAAGGCCUUCGGGUUGUAAAGCACUUUUGUCCGGAAAGAAAUGGCUCUGGUUAAUACCUGGGGUCGAUGACGGUACCGGAAGAAUAAGGACCGGCUAACUACGUGCCAGCAGCCGCGGUAAUACGUAGGGUCCAAGCGUUAAUCGGAAUUACUGGGCGUAAAGCGUGCGCAGGCGGUUGUGCAAGACCGAUGUGAAAUCCCCGAGCUUAACUUGGGAAUUGCAUUGGUGACUGCACGGCUAGA